This 482-nucleotide ribosomal RNA is filed under the name uncultured bacterium. RNAcentral's name for it is "partial 16S ribosomal RNA". It matches the Rfam family "Bacterial small subunit ribosomal RNA", at positions 30 to 507 of the family's 1533-position model. The record is from RNAcentral.
AUUGAACGCUGGCGGCAUGCCUUACACAUGCAAGUCGAACGGUAACGGGCCUUCGGGUGCCGACGAGUGGCGCACGGGUGAGUAAUACAUCGGAACGUGCCCGAUCGUGGGGGAUAACGAGGCGAAAGCUUUGCUAAUACCGCAUACGAUCUACGGAUGAAAGCAGGGGACCGCAAGGCCUUGCGCGGACGGAGCGGCCGAUGGCAGAUUAGGUAGUUGGUGGGAUAAAAGCUUACCAAGCCGACGAUCUGUAGCUGGUCUGAGAGGAUGAUCAGCCACACUGGGACUGAGACACGGCCCAGACUCCUACGGGAGGCAGCAGUGGGGAAUUUUGGACAAUGGGCGCAAGCCUGAUCCAGCCAUGCCGCGUGCAGGAUGAAGGCCUUCGGGUUGUAAACUGCUUCUGUACGGAACGAAAAGCCUUCUUUUAAUACAGGAGGGUCAUGACGGUACCGUAAGAAUAAGCACCGGCUAACUACGUG